Molecule: long non-coding RNA, 966 nt
Organism: Candoia aspera
Lineage: Eukaryota; Metazoa; Chordata; Lepidosauria; Squamata; Candoiidae
Exons: 2
Source: RefSeq, a predicted model, not a curated record
GGGGAAUUCUGGGAGUUGAAGUCCACACAUCUUCAAGGGGUCAAGGUUGAGAAACACUGCAUCAAGACAAUGAUCCCAAACAUGCAAAGGAAUGAAGAACAACAAAUGCAAUGGUUUGGUUCAGACCUAAACUGGCCAAAAUUUGUGGCAGGAUCUGAAAAAAAACAGUUCAUGCUAGAAAAUUGUCAAAUGUACUACUGUAAGUUGAAACAACUUGCCAUGGAGGAAUGGGUCAAUAUCCCUACACUAGGAUGUGGAAGAGUGAAAAUAAAUUAGAAGAAGCAUUUGGUUGCAGUUAUUGCAACUACCAGUAUAGAUAGUACAACCAGUUACUGUAUCUAAGGAGGCAAUUACCGUUUCACGGUGGUAGGUCCCCGGCUGGAUAAUUUUGUUACGAAGUAUAUGAAAUAAAUGAAAUACCAUGCUGAUGGUACAUAUUUACUCAGACUCCCUUUAUAUAUCAGCAGGACCCAUAGAAAGCUCUGAUAACAUUUGGUGAUAAAGAUAGGAAAAAAUGAGAGAAAAUGGAAAGGGGGCAAAUACUUUUUCAUGAAACUGUACAUUAGCAGCAGAGUACCGAUUGCUACAGGUGAACAGGCUCAACCCCUCAUGUUUCUUAACUCAGUUGAGUUUUCCAGGGAGCCUUGAGUAGCUGUGUACACACCGUGUACACAUUGUUUAGAUCCAAUGUGUGCUCACCCCUACAUUGAAACUCUGUAGGAGUUUUAGAAAAGUAAGCCCUCUUUCUUUUUUAAAAGUGUUUUCCUGCUUCAGAUGAUUCAUCUCAUAAAAAAUGAUCUGGAAAAGGUUUGUAUAAAUUUCUUGUUUUUACUUACUAAGAUUUUCCCCAGAAUUUGUAAAUACCUUUAUCAUGAGGCUUCACUUCCCCAAAAUAAUUUAUGGUGUCUUGAGACUUCUAGAAGAUGUAACAGAUAGACGUACUACUAAUAAACUUCAUCUGUAUCA